UCGCCGCCUUGGCCAGCAGACAGGAGCUGACACCCCAGGGCCCGGGCGCCCUCGGACGAGGCGGGGGCCCAGAAAAUCAUGUCACUCAUGGCAACACCACACGUGGGACUACUAGAAAUAUGACUAAGUUGGAUCUUGGCCUCCCCUGCGUGUGCAGUUUACACAGUCAUGAAGGCACUUCAGUGCAGUGGAGGAUGGAGGUAAAGAUCACUGCAAUGAAAUAAAGAU
Myotis brandtii (Brandt's bat) is the source of this 228-nucleotide long non-coding RNA. RefSeq lists it as uncharacterized. Lineage: Eukaryota; Metazoa; Chordata; Mammalia; Chiroptera; Vespertilionidae. The record is from RefSeq and is a predicted model, not a curated record. The transcript has 3 exons.